RNAcentral lists this ribosomal RNA (292 nucleotides) under uncultured bacterium. Its description in RNAcentral is "partial 16S ribosomal RNA". It matches the Rfam family "Bacterial small subunit ribosomal RNA", at positions 505 to 796 of the family's 1533-position model. The record is from RNAcentral.
GUGCCAGCAGCCGCGGUAAUACAGAGGGUGCGAGCGUUGUCCGGAAUCACUGGGCGUAAAGGGCGCGUAGGUGGCUUGGUAAGCGUGCGGUGAAAGCUCGAGGCUCAACCUCGAGUCUGCCGUGCGAACUGCCGAGCUGGAGCACGGUAGAGGCACAUGGAAUUCCGGGUGUAGCGGUGGAAUGCGUAGAGAUCCGGAAGAACACCGGUGGCGAAGGCGGUGUGCUGGGCCGUAGCUGACACUGAGGCGCGACAGCGUGGGGAGCAAACAGGAUUAGAUACCCCCGUAGUCC